GUGAAAUUGUUGAAAGGGAAACGAUUGAAGCCAGUCGUACCUGUGGGUAAUCAGCCUUUUGGGUGUGAUUUUGUGGAGUGUGAGGAGUUAAACGCCUUCAUGCCUGCAUAUUCGUGCACUUUGGGUGUAUUUACCCGUGUGGUAAGUUAACAUCAAUUUCGGUGGUCAUAAAAUGGCUGGAGGAAUGUAGCUUCGAUCUUGUAUUGAAGUGUUAUAGCCUUCGGUAGAUGUGAUAAUCGGGAUUGAGGAUUGCAACGGAUACCCCUCGGGGCUACCUGUCUGAUCUCUGAUACGUUGCCUUGAUGUUGAAAGCUUGCUUAUGAUGUUAGGGUAUUACGGUCAAAAGGUUAGAACGAAUUACAUUCGUUAAGGAUGUUGACGUAAUGGCUUUAAACGAC
Molecule: ribosomal RNA, 398 nt
Filed under: uncultured Rhizophagus
Lineage: Eukaryota; Fungi; Glomeromycota; Glomeromycetes; Glomerales; Glomeraceae
Description: partial 28S ribosomal RNA
Source: RNAcentral